AAAAUUUGGUUUUAGUUUACCAGUAGUUUGAAAUAGAAAUUAAUAUGCAAGCUGGGUGCAACUAUCGCAAUUGAAAAAAUUUGUUAGGUGUGUACAAUAAAUUUUAUAACUUUAGUUAACUAGGGUGCCAGCAGCUGCGGUUAUACCCUUAAAGUAAAUUAAUUAAACAUAUUAUAAAAAUACAAAUAGUAAGUUUAUUAGUUAGUUGUGAAAACACAUAACUUAUUUUUUGUUUAGGUUUUUGAAAGAGGAGUAAAAACCAGGGUUAGUAGCCUGUUAUAACCUAAGUAAAUUUUUUUAGGUAUUAAAAGAUUAGUCUCUAAACCUAAAAAACAUGGCAGUAUUUUACCCCUUGCAGAGGAACUUGAAUAUUGAUUAGAUAGCCCUCUUUAUUUCUUACUUAAUUUUAUUUUAUGUGUGGUUGUUAAAAUAAGUAUGAAAUUAUAAGUUUUAAGUCAGAUGAUAUGUAUAUAUAAUUAAGGUAAUUUUAGUUACAAUUAAAUAGUUUAUUAGGUGAUAUACAGGAUUUGCGAGUACUACAUAAAUAAGGUAAGAAGAGGUUUUAAAAUGUGUUCAUAUUGUCCGUCGCUCUCAGAAAUGAGAUAAGUCGUAGCAAAGUAAAGAUUUUUGAAAAAGUCUUUAGCUUAUUUUUCUAA
This 656-nucleotide ribosomal RNA is filed under the name Calanus glacialis. Its description in RNAcentral is "12S ribosomal RNA". Lineage: Eukaryota; Metazoa; Arthropoda; Copepoda; Calanoida; Calanidae. The record is from RNAcentral.